RNAcentral lists this ribosomal RNA (396 nucleotides) under Triticum aestivum (bread wheat). Its description in RNAcentral is "partial small subunit ribosomal RNA". The record is from RNAcentral. Lineage: Eukaryota; Viridiplantae; Streptophyta; Magnoliopsida; Poales; Poaceae.
AUGGAUUGGUCAGCUCUUGCCUGCUCCGUCACGGUCCUGAUCCUUGCAUUCCUGCCCUUGCGUGCGUCCGACGACCGGCUUGUCCCCGGCAAGCCGCUCUUCCCCGGAGCCACCAUCAUCUCCGACGGCGGUGACUUCGCCUUGGGAUUCUUCGCCCCCUCCAGCUCAGCUCCGGCCAACCUGCACCUUGACAUCUGGUACAACGGCGUCCCUGAGCUCACCGUGGUGUGGGUCGCCAACCGGGAAACUUCGGUCACCAACAGCAGUGCACCCAUGCUCUCCCUCACCAACACUUCUGACCUUGUCCUCUCUGACGGUAAUGGCAGCAACGUGUCGUUUGGACGACGAGCGUGGCCGCUGCUCCGAACUCCUCUGUAUCAGAGGCAGUGCUUCUGA